Molecule: long non-coding RNA, 1034 nt
Organism: Malaclemys terrapin pileata
Lineage: Eukaryota; Metazoa; Chordata; Testudines; Emydidae
Exons: 4
Source: RefSeq, a predicted model, not a curated record
CAUUCUUCAAACUAGCUUCUUCAAUGGAUACUAACUGGGAUGGGGUGCCCAGGGCUGGCCCUCUCUCCUAGGGACUGCCUGGCUGCUCUAUUCAAAUUUCACAGGCCACGCACAGGCACAAACACGACCAGAAUGCAUCGCCCCUCAUCUGGCCUGGUUAGCUCUGAAACUGACAAGGAUCACCCGAGGGAGAAGUUAAGCUCCUCAUAAUGAAUGAGCGGUGUCAGGGAAAGAAGCAUGUUGCAAGCCUGAAUAAUGAAGGCAGGAAGUUUGUUCUGUAAUUGGAUUAGUUCUGCUGGGAACAUACUUUGUCUUGUAUCUUUGUCAGUCCUGGGCUGGCAGCUGGCCCCAGAGCCACGUGCAGCAUUAUCUGGAAGCCACCCAAACAGAGGGAGUAAGAGCACGGGCCAAACACGAAUACUUGGUGGAGUUCACUAACUGAGGAAUAGCUAGCCUUCUAAAAAAGAAAGAUCAUACAAUAGCCAAUUUUACCAGGGGGAUUGUUGAAAUUCCACUUCCUGUUUGCUCCGUGUGGACAGUUCACAUUGCAUCUUCCCAGCUGACCAUGGUGGCUCCAUGCAGCAAAUGCUCUCCUGCUUGGAGUACGCCUGAGUUAUUGGAUCUGCUGGCACUGUGGGGGGAGGAGGCUGUGCAGUCCAGCUCUGCUCCAGCCAUAGGGACUUAGAUACCUACAGUCAGACUUCUCAUGGCAUGUUGGAGAAAGGCUAUGAACUGGACACACAUCAGUGCCAUGCGAAGAUAAAAGACCUGAGGCAGGCGUACCAGAAGGCAAGGAAGUAAAACCAUCGCUCUGGUGCUGUGAUGAAUAUUCAACCCUCACAAGAAGGACCAGGUGUCUGUGCGGGAGCACAUCUAGAUAUGGAGGAUGUCAGAAUUUCACUUGAUGACCAGGAGAAGGGCUUGGAGAACACGGUUUUCGACUCCAUGGAAGAAGAGGGACUCCCUGAGGGAGCACAGAAUCCGCCUCCUGAGAACAACAGAGAUGAGAGAGCCAAACACCCCACCUUCUGGAG